GAAAGAAAAACGAUAUCUGGAUAUCCAACAACAGCUGACCCAGAAACACCAGAAAUGGCAACGGGAUUCACGUGACGUCCUGCCGUCGAGGAAGUCGUGUGCAAGACAGGCAUAGAGUUCACCUGGACGACGAAAGAAGUACUGGUCAAUCAGUGUAUCUAUCAGUAACCAUGCAGAGGUUAUAAACAUCUGAAAUUAAAUGCAACGGGAACCGAGAGGAGGGAGAGAAGAGCGAAUGGGUGUCAAGAAGUGAGAGAAUCCAUUGCAGAUAGAAAACCAGAACGGCAAGUGCACACUAAAGCGGUUAAUUCCAAGGACAGCUAAGGAAACCAGACCACGAGUACGACCCUGUGGACAGACUAGACCGCUCUCAAACAACUGAGCUCUGCCAAUGACUUGUAGAUCGAAAAAAUAUCGUGAUGAUAUAGAUCUCCCGGGUGAGGCAGCGGCCAGUUCGAUUCGAGACGCGGGUGAUAAUGUGUUAAGUUAAAGGGCUUGUAUUUCCACUCCACAUAUGAGGACCAUAGUUGGAUUUACACGGUAGUCCGAAAUAACUAGAGGGUGGUAAA
Long non-coding RNA from Penaeus chinensis, 569 nucleotides. RefSeq lists it as uncharacterized. The record is from RefSeq and is a predicted model, not a curated record. Lineage: Eukaryota; Metazoa; Arthropoda; Malacostraca; Decapoda; Penaeidae. The transcript has 3 exons.